RNAcentral lists this ribosomal RNA (498 nucleotides) under uncultured bacterium. RNAcentral's name for it is "partial 16S ribosomal RNA". It matches the Rfam family "Bacterial small subunit ribosomal RNA", at positions 28 to 507 of the family's 1533-position model. The record is from RNAcentral.
GACGAACGCUGGCGGCAUGCCUAACACAUGCAAGUCGAACGGAGAUUAUUUCGGUAAUCUUAGUGGCGAACGGGUGAGUACCGCGUGGGCAACCUGCCCUCUAGAUGGGGACAACAUCCCGAAAGGGGUGCUAAUACCGAAUGUGACAGCAAUCUCGCAUGAGGAUGCUGUGAAAGAUGGCCUCUAUUUAUAAGCUAUCGCUAGAGGAUGGGCCUGCGUCUGAUUAGCUAGUUGGUGGGGUAACGGCCUACCAAGGCGAUGAUCAGUAGCCGGUCUGAGAGGAUGAACGGCCACAUUGGGACUGAGACACGGCCCAGACUCCUACGGGAGGCAGCAGUGGGGAAUCUUCCGCAAUGGGCGAAAGCCUGACGGAGCAAUGCCGCGUGAGUGAUGAAGGAAUUCGUUCCGUAAAGCUCUUUUGUUUAUGACGAAUGUGCAGAUUGUGAAAAAUGAUCUGUAAUGACGGUAGUAAACGAAUAAGCCACGGCUAACUACGUG